AUUGGGUAUUACUGAAGAAACGGCAACAUUAUCAGUUAAACCGGCAGCAAGAGGGUGACUUGUGCUUCUUCAACAUGGAGCCAGAGCAUGGAGGAGCAAUGAGCACCCGCCAGAUGACUGUGUUUUCAUUAACACCAAGCAAGACCCUCUACCGGCAAAAGAUCAUGACUCACUGAAGGCUCCAGUGAUCGUUAGCAUUUUAUAGCAAUGAAGUCUUUUAAAGUUAAGAGGCAGGGUGAUGUCGGGGAGCCCUUUGGGAUUUCCAGAGAGACUUUCCGAACAAAGCACUGCUCUGCAGGGCCUGCAAGCUGUUCUGAUGCAAAGACUCACCAGCCUUUGAUAAUUCAGGUCAG
Long non-coding RNA from Molossus molossus (Pallas's mastiff bat), 353 nucleotides. RefSeq lists it as uncharacterized. The record is from RefSeq and is a predicted model, not a curated record. The transcript is spliced from 3 exons. Lineage: Eukaryota; Metazoa; Chordata; Mammalia; Chiroptera; Molossidae.